AGAGUUUGAUCAUGGCUCAGGAUGAACGCUAGCGGCAGGCUUAAUACAUGCAAGUCGUGGGGCAGCAGGGGUGUAGCAAUACAUCUGCUGGCGACCGGCAAACGGGUGCGUAACACGUACGCAACCUUCCCGUUACUGUGGCAUAGCCCAGGGAAACUUGGAUUAAUACCACAUAUUAUAUUGAGGGGGCAUCCUCUUGAUAUCAAAGCUUCGGCGGUAACGGAUGGGCGUGCGGUUGAUUAGGUAGUUGGCGGGGUAACGGCCCACCAAGCCUACGAUCAAUAGCUGAUGUGAGAGCAUGAUCAGCCACACGGGCACUGAGACACGGGCCCGACUCCUACGGGAGGCAGCAGUAAGGAAUAUUGGGCAAUGGACGAAAGUCUGACCCAGCCAUGCCGCGUGAAGGAUUAAGGUCCUCUGGAUUGUAAACUUCUUUUCUCUGGGGCGAAAAACAGCUAUUCUUAGUUGCUUGACAGUACCAGAGGAAUAAGCACCGGCUAACUCCGUGCCAGCAGCCGCGGUAAUACGGAGGGUGCAAGCGUUAUCCGGAUUCACUGGGUUUAAAGGGUGCGUAGGUGGGCCAGUAAGUCAGUGGUGAAAUCCCCGAGCUUAACUCGGGAACUGCCGUUGAUACUAUUGGUCUUGAAUAUCGUGGAGGUAAGCGGAAUAUGUCAUGUAGCGGUGAAAUGCUUAGAUAUGACAUAGAACACCGAUUGCGAAGGCAGCUUGCUACACGGUCAUUGACACUGAGGCACGAAAGCGUGGGGAUCAAACAGGAUUAGAUACCCUGGUAGUCCACGCCCUAAACUAUGGAUACUCGACAUCAGCGAUACACAGUUGGUGUCUGAG
RNAcentral lists this ribosomal RNA (849 nucleotides) under uncultured bacterium. RNAcentral's name for it is "bacterial SSU rRNA". It matches the Rfam family "Bacterial small subunit ribosomal RNA", at positions 8 to 851 of the family's 1533-position model. The record is from RNAcentral.